ACUUUCGGUUUCACUUCAAAAAAGAGAGUGUGUGAGCUGCAGUGUUGCGCAGUUUUCUGAUACUUGCACACAGCUCGCGUUUCUUCUUAACAUAAAGUGUUUGAUCAGCGGCUUCGUGUUUCAGCAUCACUGUGAUGUCAGACUGUGACACUGAAUUAUGGCAUCGCGCAGUUUAGAGCCGUAACGAAAAGUCAGAGCAUAAAAAUCGUUAGCAGUGAAAUCGGAGCAGCAGAUGUAACCUGAGUUGUUACCUGUGCAGCAGCAAAGGCGGGGGCAAGUACAUCGGCGCUCUGUCUGCGGGACACACUGGAUACAUGUAAUAGACAUCUGGCACGUUGAUGAACGGAGCAACACCCGAAUCUUGGACCAGCUGAUGUUUGCUGGAGCCACAGCUGUAAAGCCGCUGGUCAUGAUGUUGGUUUGGUUAUCUGUUGAGAGGAAACAUGAAGAUGAAACCAGGAGAUGUCCUUACUGAAUCAUCAGAGCUGAACAGGGGAGAUGGGGAUUCUUAAGUUAAACGCCUCCAAGAAGCAGCGGAAGACGGUCAGUGACCUGAAGAAAGGAGCGCUGAAGCUGUUUCCCAAGAAAGGAUAUCUUCUGGGUGAAAUCCGGCUGGUUGUCGCAGGGAAACCGCUGGAUGAUGAAUCUGCAUCUCUGUCUGAAUAUAGGAUCAAACCCUCGUCUGUGGUGCAGAUGGUGGCGAAGGUCCACGGUGGCUGAUCAUCACUGAUGCACUCGACUGCAUCCACAAGACUCACAGCAGGACUGAAAUAUGAGACACCAAAGGACAAAAUCCAUCAUCUUUGGCUCUUUCAAGACUUGUCCCAUACCUGCUUAGAGUUCAGCACUAAUUAAUUAUGAUGAGCUGUAAAUGAUGAAUAAUUAGGAUGUAAUAAUGUAUUUUGUGUUUAUUUCCCUGCUAAGCUGUGUAACUUGCUAUUUGUUGGUAUAUCAAAAAUAACUAUGAAUGUAUAUCAUUUGAGAUAUUUUUCCAUCUUAUUCAAUAAUAAAAAAUUUUUUUCUUUUUUUACAGUUUGUGUUCUGAAAACUAAUCUCAAUAGUCCAUUACUACAGAUUCCACACUGCUACACGCAGGCAUUAAAAAUCUGUUUGUUUCUAAUAGGCACCACCUAUCACUGCUCUAAUUCACAUACCUGAUAUACAGAGUAAUAUGAAGAAGAGGUGGCUGGUGGCUAAAGGUGAAAAUGCAAACCGUGGGGUUAUUCUGUCUGCUUGGGAUCGGAACAGCAUCCAGCUACAGCUCAGGACCGCUUCCUCAUCGGUCUCUGCCAUGACACCCAGCCACAGUUUCCUUUUGGACUGUUGGGUACUGCCUUUAGAUUGCAGUUGCUGUUAGGCAAUAUUAUUACCACACCAGUUUCUGCUGGUGGCUUAUGCAGUAUAGCAGUUCAUCUACUAAUCAGAAGGCUGGUGGUUCAACCCAAAGCAGACAGUGCAUAAAAUGAAGCUUUUGAGGCCUCACGGUCCUCUGAUGUGAACAUAAAUGAAAUCUGUGGGAGGAUCCUAAACAUGUUGAUCUGUCUUUAACUGGGCAGACCUCAUAUCAUAGUAAAGCCAUUUCUUACCUGCACAAAUAUAUAUUUUUGCCACUUUGCUGUUGUUUUGAUUAUGUUGUCUUCAACACACUUCUCAAUAUGGCUUGGGUUUUCCCCUCGCGGCACCCUGACAUUUGUUGCCUUUGUUUCCUUGAUUGCGGCAUCUACGUUGAAUCCUUUUUCAUUACUCAGCUCGUGCCGCACUCAGCUUUGUCAUUCUGUGACUCUCUUUCCUCACUGCAGUCCCAAAACAACCCUUCUCUCUGCUGUAGCAGAUUCUCAGUCCCUCUCUUUCAGCUGUCCUUUCAGUUUUCUCUGAAUUAUCACCAUUCACGUGAUAUCCUUCUCAGGUUUAGAAUGAGCAGUAAACACAGAAGCUGUUGUCUGCACACACCAGGAAAUGCCCUAGAUUGUUUUUUAUUUAUUCGUUAUCACUUUCGGUUUCUCUCCACCAGCUACGAAAACUCAUGCAACUGCAGAUUAGCAGCCAGGAUUAUUUUGUACAUUUUAUUUUAUGUAAUCAGUGUUAAUUCUGCAGCGAGUCCAGGUUUAAUAUCUUAUUUUGUGCAUUUAUUGGUUUUAUCACUCUACUUUUGGUACCUUGCACCAUGUAGCCAAAGUUGUGGAAAGUACCCGAUCAACCAAUCAGCUUCACUGGGCUGGCUUAUCAACUGGAUUUAUUGUCUUGUUUGGAGAGAUUGAAAUGGUUAUUGUGUUACUUUUGCCAUUGUGGUGUUAUGGAUGUGUAUCAAACUGGAUAAAAAAAUGAUGUGAUAAUAAGAUUACUGAUGAAUCCACUCAUACCUAUCAUUUGGCAAGACAACCAGGAUGUGAAACAGCAAAAAAACCAAACCAAACAUUGUUCUGGUUACAUAACACACAUUGGUGCGGGUGUAUUAGGUAGUUUCCAGUUUUCAUCUCAAUGACAGCAUCAUGCUUGAUAAAGUGAUUCAACUCGAAACUGAGCAAGCAUGCAUUAUGAUGAGCAUUAUUUCUAUGUUUGAAAGUUAUUUUAAUUUUCUGGUUUACAUGUCAUCUUUGGUUGCAUAUUUAAAUCUUAUUGCAUAUUUUCUGUAAUACCCUUCUGCUGAAAACAAUGCAGCAAAUGUUCCUCUUUGUGCCACUUAACCAGCAUUUAGGAUAAAGGUGGAUCUGUGGGGAAUUUUAUCCGCAACCUAUUCAUGCCGGGAAAACAAGGCUUUAAUUAUGGCUUUAAAUAACUGAAACUAAGUAAAAUAUACUAUCUCAUU
Molecule: long non-coding RNA, 2806 nt
Organism: Haplochromis burtoni (Burton's mouthbrooder)
Lineage: Eukaryota; Metazoa; Chordata; Actinopteri; Cichliformes; Cichlidae
Exons: 4
Source: RefSeq, a predicted model, not a curated record